UUGAAAAUAAGUGUGAUCCCUUGCUUUUUUCUGAUGUGUCUUCUGGGGCAUGUGAGGCAAUGAUGCCAGAGUUGAUCGAGUCUGGGUCAGUAAAUUUAAGUCGGAUACAUCAUUCUCCUGAAAGUACACAUUGAGACAAUUUUAUUUUUCCUUGAGCUUUUUGAAAUGCCGUUCGUUCUAUCUUAUGAUAUUUGCUUUCUCAUUUUAGGUGAUUAAUAAAGUAUCUAAGUUUUCUACUGUUUUUCCAUGGAUUACCGUUUUCAAUAUCUGAAAUGAGGUCUUUUGUUUCUGGAAUGGGGAUAAAAAAGGCCUUGUCAUUUGUUUCUGGAAUGGGGAUAAAAAAGGCCUUGUCAUUUGUUUCCAUGAAUUAUUGGUCCAACUUUGCUGAGGUGAUUACUGGAGUAUUUAGAUACUUUUUUCACGAUAAAUGGUAAUAUUUUCAAUCAUGUCGAACAUUUACACAAACCAGGUAUACAAGAGAAAUGAAGAUAAAAGGCAGCCGGUAUUAGGUACUUAUGUGAGCUGCUCCUUGGUUUUUGGGUUUCUUUUCUAAAAUUUUGAAACUAAUGUGCCCUUUUAGUACAAACUGUGAACUCUGAGAUGGGCCCUCACUAACUAUUAUAAGCUUGCAAAUUUUGAUUGCAGACACCACUAUAUUCUUCGUCAAUUGAUGUUUCUGGCUUCUGCCUUUCACUGAUGGGGACGAACUUCCCAAGUUACCUACAGGAAGCACAAAGAGUUCUUAAACCAUUGUAUCUUACAUUAUUUUACUUGAAGCUUAUGACUAAUUUAUUCUAAGAGCUUUUCUUGAGUAGUGAUGCAUGUACAGUAGUUGGCUUUUGAUAGCAGAAGUGAAGAGCAGGUUUGAUCCCACUACUGGGGGAGCAGUCCCAGAUAGGUAUUCAAAAGCGAUAUGUGAACUAGGAUUCACCGCUUUAUCAAAGGUUUAUCUAUGUUCUUUCAUCCUUAAGUGUGAAUUUAUUUUCCGUCUCUGUGCUAAUAAGUCUUACUUCUGUGCAGGACUUUUCAAAUAAAAUGUUUAUACUUUUCUAUUUCAAGAAAAAGGUUAGGAGCUUUUCUAUUAGUAAUAUGCAAGAUUCACUACAGGCCGUAGAUUUCUAUUAAGUUUGUAUACUCAUGAAUGAUUCCUUUAUUUUAUACUCUACAAGAGAAGCAAAAUUCAAAGAAGGAAAUUGAAUGGCCUGAGUUGAAGCCUUGCUUGUACAAGCGGCGAUGAGCUCUCAAAAAAUUGUAUGAUGUUUGUAUUCUAUUUAUAUUUUUUGGGGCUACCAUUUGAAUUCUAUUUUUGAUCACACUUUUUUCUUAAAAAAAGGAACCAUUUAAUUGAUUUUUUUUGUUAUACCUUGCUUUAAUUGAUUUUUUGUAUUUCAAAAUCUAGAUUGUUAUGUGGCAAUUAGUUUCUUUAUAAAAUCUUUCACUUCAGUUUUGUACAAAGAUGGUUUGGUGGGUUGUUCUUGAUAUGACCAUGAGGAGGUCUUACCUUUGCUUACCUAAUCUCAUCAAGUUCAGUUUUUACUGAUUAUAUUUGCUCUUUCAGCUAAUUUAUCCACAGAAAGCUACUCAACCAUCCUUUCAGAACACGUCUCGGGUGUCUACUUUGGUUGGGCUGGAUUAUCAACCCGAGGCGUUUACAAGAUGGUCAUGAGUAUUGGUUGGAAUCCUUAUUUUGACAACACCAUCAAGACCAUUGUGAGUGUGUUGUCGACUUUAGAUUAUUAUCUAAAUUUGAAAAAGUUUUUCAUUUUUCAGUUUCAAAAUGAUUGUUAAUGAUUUUAGGAGCCAUGGUUGCUACAUUGACGAGGAUUUCUAUGGUGAGGAGUUAUGCCUUGCUAUCAUUGUAUCCUCCUUUUCUUUUACAGAAGCAAUUGCAUACUCUAGAAUAAAAUGAAUCAUUCUAAUCUCCAUUCCAUUCCUUCAAUCCAAACGUAUCGUUAGUAAUUCUUUUGGAGACGAAGUAAUUACUGUAUCAAUUAAAAUAAAAUAAAUUUAAAUCAUUUUAAAAUUUAAUAUAUCAUAUUAUUUAAAUUUGAAUCUCAAAAAUUAAAUUGUACUUUUAAUUUAGGAAAUAGAAACUUGGUAUCUUUAGAAAUCCAUAAACAUACAAGUGUCAGGGAAAAAAAAGUGAACACCACCCGUACAUGCAAAGCAUAAAGUCGGAAAAAUAAAGGAAAAACAAGUAAAUUUGGCCAGCUCCUUUUGUCAGAGCCUGUUUGGCAACUAAGUACUUAUUUUAGAAGAAGUACUAUUUAAUAAAAAAAAAUUGUGGUAUAGAAUAUUAAAUUAUAUUUGAGGAGUUGACUGUAUGACUAAUUAUAUUUAAGUUAUUAGUGCAGUUCCUUGAUCUUGAACAUGAAUUCUUAGUAUCAUACCUUAAUAAAUCAUCUCAUAAUAAAUUGUUGUUGAGCAGCUGAGAAGAGGAUUAUACCUGGUUCGGAUCCUGAUCAAUUCAAGUUUGCUUCCAUUGUGUCUGUAACACUGAGCUGUGACCAUCGUGUUAUUGAUGGUAGGUUCCUCUGAC
This 2539-nucleotide long non-coding RNA is filed under the name Panax ginseng (ginseng). RNAcentral's name for it is "long non-coding RNA (PGIN_LNC004366)". The record is from RNAcentral. Lineage: Eukaryota; Viridiplantae; Streptophyta; Magnoliopsida; Apiales; Araliaceae.